AACGAACGCUGGCGGCAGGCCUAAAACAUGCAAGUCGAACGCCCCGCAAGGGGAGUGGCGCACGGGUGAGUAACGCGUGGGAACGUGCCCUUCACUACGGGACAACGUCGGGAAACUGACGCUAAUACCGUAUAAUGACUCCGGUCCAAAGAUUUAUCGGUGAAGGAGCGGCCCGCGUCUGAUUAGUUUGUUGGUGGGGUAAUGGCCUACCAAGACUACGAUCAGUAGCAGGUCUGAGAGGAUGAUCUGCCACACUGGGACUGAGACACGGCCCAGACUCCUACGGGAGGCAGCAGUUAGAAAUAUUGGACAAUGGGCGAAAGCUUGAUCCAGCCAUGCCGCGUGUGUGAUGAAGGCCUUAGGGUUGUAAAGCACUUUCGUUGGGGAUGAUAAUGACCGUACCCAAAGAAGAAGCACCGGCUAACUUCGUGCCAGCAGCCGCCGUAA
Molecule: ribosomal RNA, 447 nt
Filed under: uncultured bacterium
Lineage: Bacteria
Description: partial 16S ribosomal RNA
Rfam family: Bacterial small subunit ribosomal RNA
Source: RNAcentral